This 402-nucleotide ribosomal RNA is filed under the name uncultured bacterium. Its description in RNAcentral is "bacterial SSU rRNA". It matches the Rfam family "Bacterial small subunit ribosomal RNA", at positions 355 to 774 of the family's 1533-position model. The record is from RNAcentral.
UGGGGAAUAUUGGACAAUGGGCGCAAGCCUGAUCCAGCAAUGCCGCGUGGGUGAAGAAGGUCUUCGGAUCGUAAAGCCCUUUCGACAGGGACGAUGAUGACGGUACCUGUAGAAGAAGCCCCGGCUAACUUAGUGCCAGCAGCCGCGGUAAUACGAAGGGGGCUAGCGUUGCUCGGAAUUACUGGGCGUAAAGGGCGCGUAGGCGGCUUGGCCAGUCAGGCGUGAAAUUCCGGGGCUUAACCUGGGGACUGCGCUUGAUACUGCCAGGCUCGAGGCCGAGAGAGGGUGGUGGAAUUCCCAGUGUAGAGGUGAAAUUCGUAGAUAUUGGGAAGAACACCGGUGGCGAAGGCGACCACCUGGCUCGGUACUGACGCUGAGGCGCGACAGCGUGGGGAGCAAACA